RNAcentral lists this ribosomal RNA (549 nucleotides) under Triticum aestivum (bread wheat). Its description in RNAcentral is "partial small subunit ribosomal RNA". Lineage: Eukaryota; Viridiplantae; Streptophyta; Magnoliopsida; Poales; Poaceae. The record is from RNAcentral.
AUGGUGAUGGGAUACUCUCCCGCUGAGUCAGUGGCCAUCGCCAAUAGACUUAAUUGCCGCCUGGGCUCGUUCCCCACUACCUACCUUGGGAUGCCCAUCAGUGACUCACGCCUCUUGGCCGCCGAUCUUCGCCCCUCCGUGACCAAGCUCCAGACUAGAUGCGAGCCCUGGCAGGGGAGGUGGCUCUCCAAGGCGGCCUGGACUAUUCUUAUCAACUCCUCCCUCUCCAGCCUCCUCUUAUUUCUUAUGAGUUUCUACAGUCUCCACGAAUCUCUCCAUAAGGAGAUCGCCAAAAUCCAGUCCCGCUUCUAUUGGGCUGGCAAGCACGGCAAGCAGAAGUAUCACAUGGUCAGCUGGCCUGACAUCUGCAAGCCUCGGGAGCAGGGUGGAUUGGGUAUCAUGUGCUCUAAGCGGAUGAAUAUUGCCCUCCUAUCCCGGUGGCUGUGGCGCAUCUCGCAGGGUCAGGGUGGCCUAUGGCUGGACAUUAUCCGGAAUAAAUACCUGCGCGGCCAACCCCUUGCCUUCUGCCAGAAGUCGGGAGGUUCUUAG